RNAcentral lists this ribosomal RNA (497 nucleotides) under uncultured bacterium. Its description in RNAcentral is "partial 16S ribosomal RNA". It matches the Rfam family "Bacterial small subunit ribosomal RNA", at positions 28 to 507 of the family's 1533-position model. The record is from RNAcentral.
GAUGAACGCUGGCGGCGUGCCUAAUACAUGCAAGUCGAGCGAACGGACGAGAAGCUUGCUUCUCUGAUGUUAGCGGCGGACGGGUGAGUAACACGUGGAUAACCUACCUAUAAGACUGGGAUAACUUCGGGAAACCGUAGCUAAUACCGAAUAAUAUUUUGAACCGCAUGGUUCAAAAGUUAAAGACGGUCUUGCUGUCACUUAUAGAUGGAUCCGCGCUGCAUUAGCUAGUUGGUAAGGUAACGGCUUACCAAGGCAACGAUGCAUAGCCGACCUGAGAGGGUGAUCGGCCACACUGGAACUGAGACACGGUCCAGACUCCUACGGGAGGCAGCAGUAGGGAAUCUUCCGCAAUGGGCGAAAGCCUGACGGAGCAACGCCGCGUGAGUGAUGAAGGUCUUCGGAUCGUAAAACUCUGUUAUUAGGGAAGAACAUAUGUGUAAGUAACUGUGCACAUCUUGACGGUACCUAAUCAGAAAGCCACGGCUAACUACGUG